RNAcentral lists this ribosomal RNA (260 nucleotides) under uncultured bacterium. RNAcentral describes it as "partial 16S ribosomal RNA". It matches the Rfam family "Bacterial small subunit ribosomal RNA", at positions 641 to 898 of the family's 1533-position model. The record is from RNAcentral.
CUUGAGUUCGGUAGGGGAGACUGGAAUUCCUGGUGUAGCGGUGGAAUGCGCAGAUAUCAGGAGGAACACCAGUGGCGAAGGCGGGUCUCUGGGCCGAAACUGACGCUGAGGAGCGAAAGCGUGGGGAGCGAACAGGAUUAGAUACCCUGGUAGUCCACGCCGUAAACGGUGGGCGCUAGGUGUGGGAUGCUGUUCACGUGUCCCGUGCCGUAGCUAACGCAUUAAGCGCCCCGCCUGGGGAGUACGGCCGCAAGGCUAAA